This 492-nucleotide ribosomal RNA is filed under the name uncultured bacterium. RNAcentral's name for it is "partial 16S ribosomal RNA". It matches the Rfam family "Bacterial small subunit ribosomal RNA", at positions 29 to 507 of the family's 1533-position model. The record is from RNAcentral.
AGCGAACGCUGGCGGCAGGCCUAACACAUGCAAGUCGAACGGCAGCACAGUAAGAGCUUGCUCUUACGGGUGGCGAGUGGCGGACGGGUGAGGAAUACAUCGGAAUCUACUCUUUCGUGGGGGAUAACGUAGGGAAACUUACGCUAAUACCGCAUACGACCUACGGGUGAAAGCAGGGGAUCUUCGGACCUUGCGCGAUUGAAUGAGCCGAUGUCGGAUUAGAUAGUUGGCGGGGUAAAGGCCCACCAAGGCGACGAUCCGUAGCUGGUCGGAGAGAAUGGUCGGCCACACUGGAACAGAGACACGGUCCAGACUCCUGCGGUAGGCAGCAGUGGAGAAUAUUAGGCAAUGGGCGCGAGCCUUAUCCAGCCAUACCGCGUAGGUGAAGAAGGCCUUCGGUUUGGAAAGCCCUUUUGUUGGUAGAGAAAAGCAGCAGGUUAAUACCCCGCUGUUCUGACGGUACCCGAAGAAUAAGCACCGGCUAACUUCGUG